Long non-coding RNA from Neltuma alba, 2244 nucleotides. RefSeq lists it as uncharacterized. NCBI's taxonomy places the organism in Eukaryota, Viridiplantae, Streptophyta, Magnoliopsida, Fabales, Fabaceae. The record is from RefSeq and is a predicted model, not a curated record. The transcript is spliced from 2 exons.
GAUGGUUGCUCCUGGGGCCUGAUCUGUAGCCUUUCCCUCUCGCCGGGAACAAGUGGAUCGCGUGCCUGAAAGGGUUAAUUGGCAACAGUUAGAUCCCAAUUUCUAUGAAAAAAUUCAUCUUUAAUCUCCAGAUGCAGUCUCUUUUUUUGAGCGUUUCGAGUCUAGAACACAGAUUCUGCCGGUCAGGAGGAACAUGCCUUGUGAGCCUGUGCUUGUGUGGGUACGUUGAAAUUGGACUGCACUAGUUCAGAGAUCUCACUCUCGUGCCUAGUAGGGAUCUGGUUGUGCGGUUAAUGGAGGAUUGGAUCUUGAUGUCAUGUAUGGGUAUGAUGAAUGAACAGCAGGGGCGGUGGCGCUUGGAAUUCAACAGUAAACGCGUUUGCUGCAUCACUGUUUGUUGGCCGCGAAAGGGUUCAAGUUUCAUACAUAAUGUUCUUAAUAAUUCAACUUUUUGUCGAUGGGCCAUUAUUAUAAUAACAUGUCAUCCAACUUCUGGAUCUGAUCUUUGGAGGGUUUGGUUGCUGAGGCGUGUGUGUGUGAUAGGUGUGUAAGGCAUGCAUCUAGAAGGUAUUUGUUCUGUUGUUUUCUUCCUUGUUACUGGACCUUUGCCAUUGCAGGUGCGCUUGCAUGGCAGGUCACCCAUCUUAAUAGAAUUAUUCUCUUUUGGUUUUUGGGGGGAGACGACUCGGGAUCAAUUUUUCAUUCGUCCCGGCUCUCCUCCCAGGUGGCGUGUGUUGCUCCCUUUUUUUUUUUUUUCCUCCCCUUUCUUUUCUCGUCUCUCUUCUCUGCUUUUACUUUUAUCUUUUCUUCCACGUUCCUUCAAUUGCCCUCGGAUUUAACUCCGCACACCCGUGACCUAUGGCAUGAUGCUCAAACACUAAAGCUAAGGUUACACUCUAUAUCGUGUAAACACGAGUGAUUGUGUAGCCUGCACAAGGUAUGCAUAAGGUAGGUGACUGAAUUCACAACGAGAAUGAUGCAAUCUGUCAAAUAUAUUCUAUUAACCGCAUCAGUUUGAUUGAUGAAUUAUACUGAAGUUCACACUAGUGGCCGUUGAUUUCAGCAAGCAAGCAAUGUUCAGCGUCAUCUCCCUAUUUUUCUCCAAUUGCCUGUUGUUUUCAUAUGUUUCCUUUAUUGAAUAAAUAACCAUGUCGUAAAAGCGUCAUCAUAACAAACAUGCAAAUCAUCACGCACGCCAUUCCCUAAUGUUUCUCGGUAUUUAGCAACUGUCUGCUAAAGAUAUUGUUUGUUAGUUUCGGCAAGUUCUUUUACACGCUUCGUUUAGUUGUAGUUUUAUUCAAGUUCUUGAGAUUGAUGUUCACAACCAUGUAAGUUUAUUUAAUAUCUCUAGUUGUGAAUUUUAUGUUCUUUAGCAUAUUGAAAAUCCCCAUAAGGCUUGCUGUGGCUUCUUGUGGUGGUGGUUGUAGGGUAUCGAAAAUGUAAGCAGUAGUUUGCUUAGAUGCUCUUUGUGGCAGUAUAUACUAUUUGCCUAAUAAUUACAACUAUGGCGAGGGAUUUGAAGGCAGAGAAGGUGGGGCAUUCUGUGUGUGUUGGCCUCAAGGCUUGGCUGUGCGUCCACUCUUGUUCUUGUGUGUGGUAAUUGGGAUGAAUCUGUGUCUAGCAGGCCCUAACGGGUCUUUGUGUAACCUGGUGUAAGCCUAACGUGAGCAUUCAUUAUUUAGUUUCGAGUAUGGAUAGCUGGCCCUCGUUAACCGGAAGAUGUUUACCUGUCUCUAAUAAUUAGAUGCAUUGACAAUGCGCCAUCUGCAUUCGCGUGGAUCUUCUUGUCAGCAGCAGAGUUCCGAAGUAUGCAGAGAUGCAUUUUUGGAGCUGCAGUUUGGCAAGAUAUGAGCUUCCAGUAUUUCUCCCAGCUUGAGGUAGAUCUACUACUGUUGAGCUAAGUUUUUUCUGUUUUUCUGAAAGUAUUCACGCAGUUUAUUUCUUCUUCAUUUAGUUUGUUGCCAGUAAUGGAUUGGUAUAGUCAGUCUAAUGAUACGAGCUUUGGAGAAUGGAUUUUUAUUGUUUAACUGUUUUUCUUCACAGCACCUCGACUGACAUGGCUUGUAAUUUGGUGUGCGUCGUUCAAUUUCUUUGUUGCACUUCAGUAUCUGGGGUAUAUUUGUCAAUUUAUUUGUGUUUUUACUAAUGAUUCUUUGGUGUUUUUGCUUUACGGUGCAUGUAUGAUCUGUCAGCCUGGUUCCUAAUGACUUCGGAGGCAAUGGCUAAUGCUAUGUUUCUUAUUUA